RNAcentral lists this long non-coding RNA (4213 nucleotides) under Nicotiana benthamiana. RNAcentral describes it as "long non-coding RNA (NBEN_LNC018118)". The record is from RNAcentral. Lineage: Eukaryota; Viridiplantae; Streptophyta; Magnoliopsida; Solanales; Solanaceae.
UAACCUAAAACAUAUACACACAAUACACGCCCAAAAGAAAAUUCUGGAGAGAGGAGAGGCCUGAAGCGCAGCCUUGCCUUCCUCUUUAACAAACACACGCAAUACACAUUACCAUAUAGAAGCAUAUACACACGAUAGAGAAGAGGGGGAAAACAAAACACAUAUACAUGAGAAGGGAGCUGAGCUUCUUGAGGAGAAUACACUACAGAGAGACACACAUAGAGACGCUGGGAGAAAGGGUCUGCGCAGCUGGCGGCUGCUUCUUCACAAAAACACACACCUAUACAUACAAUACACGCACAUAAACACAGAGAAAUUAGAGAGGCGUCUGGGAAAAAUUGAGCGCAGCUGAUAGCUUUUACCAGAGAUCCCACCCUCACGAUCUCUUUUCUUCUUCGAUCAGAACGAGCCCUACUUUGGAUCUCAUUUGCAAAUAUGGUUUACUGCACCAGCUUCGUUUCUUCAUUCAAGUUUGUGAGAUCGUCGUUCGAGUUUAUAUUAGCGGAGUUUCGAGGUUCCGAUUUGAGAUCCUUGUUCGAUCUGAGAUCCUUGUUGAUUCGAACCAAUCUCACAACCUAAAUAUUCAGCAAGAAAGGUUUUUCCUCCAUCUAAAUACUCCAGAUGCAGUAUUAUGUUUGUUCCAGUGAUUUUAUUCAAAUUGAAUGCCCGUUUGUUCUUUUUUUAUUUAGCCUCUUUGAUGUUUUUCCUUGUUUUGAAUAAUUUGUUCAUUUGCACUUUAUUUUUGAGUGCUUAAACUACGAAUUUUGCCGAACUUUUCAGUAGAUUUGAUUUCCUACAUGAAUUUUUGCUCAUGGUUGAUUGGUUCUAAGUUAAAAAAAUGGAGUGAAUUAGCUUUUUCUCUGUCCAUACUUAGUUUCAUGUUAUGUUUAAUAUCAUUAUGAUUUAGCAUGUUAUAAUUUAUGUAAUAUUUUACUGUGAGUUAAUAAAUGAAUUGAUGAAACACUAGAUUUUGUUUGAAUUGGAGUGAAUUAAGUUUGUUUGGUAAGGACUUUCAGUAGGUUUGAAAUUGGCGUGAUUUUGGAUUUAGAUUAGAAUAUUUGUGUCUUAUUAGAUGGGGUUCGCACUUUUCAGUGCAUGAAUUUAGCAAUUUACUUCAGGCCCGUAACAUAAGCGUCAUAAUCAUAGAUAUGAUUCUCGUGAUGUAGUUGUGAUACUAAGCUUUAAAUUAGCUUUAAAUAUAUAUAUCCGUAGUUCUUAGUUGAGUUCUUUUCCUUUAAUAGAAUUUGAGGUGUGUCAUUUAGCGAAUUCUAUGGCCUCGCAAACUUGCAAACGCAUAUUCAUUUUAGGCACGCUAGUUAAAGAAUUCACUUUCCUAAAUACAGGUGCACAUUUAUGUGACACAAAUCCAAAUUUCAACGAAGUUGGAAUGUGUCAAAAUCCACGGGUUCAUUUAUGUGACGUGGCUCGAGACAUGUUUUAACAACGUUGCAAUUUUUUUUUAAAUAAUGAUAAAAGCGGUUUAAGGUUAGAAAGCAUAUAAGUUAAAACAUGUUCUAAAAUCAGAUAAUAUAAGCUAAAUAUAAUAGUUGAGCGACCGUGCUAGAACUACGAAACCUCGGAAUGCCUAACACCUUCUACCGAGUUAACAUUAUUCGUUACUCGAAUUUCUGGUUCGCGGACUUUUAAACAGAGUCAUUAAACACCUUCUCCCGGGUUAACAGAAUUCCUUACCCAGAGUUCUGGUUUCGCAGACUGUUAAACAUAGUCAUUCUUUCAUCGAUUCGGGAUUCUAACCGAUGACUUGGGACACUAUAAAUCUCCCAAGUGGAGACUUUGAAAUUCUCUUAAAUAAUUGAUUCCCGUUUCGAUUGUCCUUAAAUUAGAAAAACUCCCUUAUCUUCGCCCUUCGUCGGGUUGUAGUAGCAAAAAUAAGGUGUGACAGCUCUGGCGACUCUGCUUGGGAAGGUGGACCCAGAAUCUCUGGUUUAGGGUUCAAGAAUUCGAGCUUACAAUAACUGUUAUAUUUGACUUCUUCUGAUUUGCUUACCUGCUCUGUGCUAAAUGCCGCAUGUUUUACCGUUUUGAUAUUAUUUGAACUGUAUAUAUAAACUGUUACAACACCCUUCACUUCUCACCUCCGGGGAUGUGCUUACCGGUUGAGACUCCCUAUUCUGUUAGUGUCUUACCCUAAAAUAAGAAAGAGGCCGAACAAGUGACAAAGCCGAACGAUCUCGCGGGUCCCCGGUACGUAGCCCCCUCCUCGACUCGAGUUUUCCGCUCGGGUACACAGUCUAGAACAAAUACCCACGCUUAAACAUAGAAUAACAAAACCUCAUGCCGGUUCCCUAGCAGGAAUGCUUAUCUGCAUCAUGCAUUUGACUUAGGAGACUCAACACAGGGGUUGGGUCCGUCUAGGACAGGUGUACCCAAAAUAACAAACCAUCCUGAUGCAUCCUAAUGUGAUACAUAUUGCAUUUCUCCAAGGGUAAAAGGGUCAUUUGGGGAGCAUAGAUAGCUGAGGGUAAAUGAAAAAAAAGAGAAAAACAAUGAAAAGAAAAGAGGGUGAAGUUUGAAAAUAAAGCAAGAAGAUUUAGUUAUGUUUUGUUAUAUUUUUAUUAAACAAAAGACACGGGAUAUGUGAAAAAUUUUAAAAAAAAAAGAAUAUUUCACACUUUUUAUUCAAAAAAAAAGAAAAAGAGAAAAUCCAAAAAUAGUUUGCAUAUUUCAUCAUUUGUUUUUUCAAAAAGAGACAAAAGAAAAUGUUUUCUUUAAAAAUUAGAUGUUGUUUUUUAUUUUUUGCCCGUAUCCAAGUAACCCGAAUUACGCGAACCUGAUUCUCGUCUUUCGAGACGUGAUACGUAGGCAACAAACAUAUGGUUUGAUUGUCCUUGUAAUUCUUAGAUUCUUGGCUUUGCGGGGUUAUAGCCAGACUUUGCAGUUCUAGCUACUUUUAGCCAUAUAGGUUAGUUUUAGAAUUCAGAAGUUGCUUGUUGGAACAUGUGUGAAUUGAGUUAUGUCAAUGGACUCUACUAUUGAAAUUCUUCGAGUUCAAGUUGGAAUUCUCUUGUCAAACUUUUUUUAUGCUGGUGAAAGUUCUACUGAGAUCAGUCUUUGUUUGUUGGGGCGUUGUUUUGUGAUUUUAAUUCAAUCAAUGAGUUGUUGGUGGGGCCAUGUCUGUAUGUAAAUCAUGCAUUGUACACCAGUUAUCUUUGUGCUAUGAGUGCGGAGUUUUGAAGCUUGUCUUGUUGAAUUUUACCACUUUUGUGAAGUUUUUGGAGUAAAUUGAUAGCUGAAAUUCUCCUAGUUUGAACUUGUUAUCAUUGGCUUUUAAUAGUUGUUGUUAUUGUUGAGUUUAAUAGAGGGUAUUCAGUUGGACUAAAGUUUGAGCAUGCUUGAAUUGUGAUUUGGUUGAGCAUACAUUAAGCUUACUCUGCCGAAAUUUUAUGUCCGUUGAGAUUUAUGCGCGAGUUUAGCGGUGAUAGUUUGAAAUAUGGUUUUUACUUCUAAAAAGUGUCCGUUGAGAUUUAUGCGCGAGUUUAGGAGCAUGCUUGAAUUGUGAUUUGGUUGAGCAUACAUUAAGCUUACUCUGCCGAAAUUUUAUGUCCGUUGAGAUUUAUGCGCGAGUUUAGUAGAGAUAGUUUGAAAUAUGGUUUUCUUCUAAAAAGUUCUCUUUGUUGAAUUAAGUGCUUUUGUUACAUAACUUUGUGGUUAUUCUGACUCAAUAUUGUUGUGAUUCUAAUGUUUUGUUUCUACAGUUGAGGUCGUCAUUCUGGGCUGAAAAUUUAUGUGCCUAUUGCUGCUAAAUUUAAUGCUCAAUGUGUUGCUGAAGUUUGAAUUUUGAGAAGCAAUUGAAUAGCGAAUCUGUCAGCUUAUUUGAAUUCUAGAAUUUUGCACUUAAAUGAAAGUUGUUGAUGUAAUACGCAUUAUUUGUAUUUUUUACAACUUUUGGUAAAUCUGAAACUGGGUGUGGAGAUUAGAACUUGUUUGAAGAAUUUUGAGUAGUGGAGAUUAGAACUUGUUUGAAGAAUUUUGAACUCAAAUAAGAGUGUUUUAGAUUAUUAUUGAAGGUUGUUACCUUGGAAAUUUUUUACUUUUUGCACUAGUUGUGCAGUGAGUGCAAGUUGAUUUUUCUGCACAUUUGAGUUCAGUUGAUUACAAAUGUUUUGGUUAUGUUAUCAGGGAAUUACAAGCUGAAAAAUAUUGCUUAAAGUUACUUUGUUUGUUGAUGCUAGUUUAGUUUGGUGUUAGUUGG